UGGGGAAUAUUGGACAAUGGGGGCAACCCUGAUCCAGCAAUUCUGUGUGCACGAUGAAGGUUUUCGGAUUGUAAAGUGCUUUCAGCAGGGAAGAAAAAAAUGACGGUACCUGCAGAAGAAGCGACGGCUAAAUACGUGCCAGCAGCCGCGGUAAUACGUAUGUCGCAAGCGUUAUCCGGAAUUAUUGGGCAUAAAGGGCAUCUAGGCGGCCAGAUAAGUCUGGGGUGAAAACUUGCGGCUCAACCGCAAGCCUGCCCUGGAAACUAUGCGGCUAGAGUACUGGAGAGGUGGACGGAACUGCACGAGUAGAGGUGAAAUUCGUAGAUAUGUGCAGGAAUGCCGAUGAUGAAGAUAGUUCACUGGACGGUAACUGACGCUGAAGUGCGAAAGCUAGGGGAGCAAACAGGAUUAGAUACCCUGGUAGUCCUAGCUGUAAACGAUGAUUACUGGGUGUGGGCAUGAAGAGUGUCCGUGCCGAAGCUAAUGCGAUAAGUAAUCCGCCUGGGGAGUACGGCCGCAAGGCUG
Molecule: ribosomal RNA, 525 nt
Filed under: uncultured bacterium
Lineage: Bacteria
Description: bacterial SSU rRNA
Rfam family: Bacterial small subunit ribosomal RNA
Source: RNAcentral